Molecule: ribosomal RNA, 269 nt
Filed under: uncultured prokaryote
Description: partial 16S ribosomal RNA
Rfam family: Bacterial small subunit ribosomal RNA
Source: RNAcentral
UACGUAGGAGGCAAGCGUUAUCCGGAUUUACUGGGCGUAAAGAGGGCGUAGGCGGCUUGUCAAGUCGGAUGUGAAAUCUCCCGGCUUAACUGGGAGGGUGCAUUCGAUACUGAUGGGCUAGAGUGCAGCAGAGGGAAGUGGAAUUCCCGGUGUAGUGGUGAAAUGCGUAGAUAUCGGGAAGAACAUUAGUGGCGAAGGCGGCUUCCUGGGCUGUUACUGACGCUGAGGCCCGAAGGCGUGGGGAGCGAACAGGAUUAGAUACCCGAGUA